This 465-nucleotide unclassified non-coding RNA is filed under the name Acidithiobacillus thiooxidans. RNAcentral describes it as "intergenic spacer". The stretch from base 47 to 120 matches the Rfam family "tRNA". The record is from RNAcentral. Lineage: Bacteria; Pseudomonadati; Pseudomonadota; Acidithiobacillia; Acidithiobacillales; Acidithiobacillaceae.
AAAGAAAUGGGUCCUAGACCCCACACACGCCACUCGGUAAAGAAUCGGGCCUAUAGCUCAGCUGGCUAGAGCACACGACUGAUAAUCGUGAGGUCAGUGGUUCGAGUCCACUUGGGCCCACCAAAUGGGGCUGUAGCUCAGCUGGGAGAGCACCUGCUUUGCAAGCAGGGGGUCACCGGUUCGAUCCCGGUCAGCUCCACCAAAGGGAAGAGGCCCGCGCGCAGCGGGUCGGACGCUGGGGUGGAGAAGUAGGCGGCAGGAAGCGGGUAACAGGUAACAGGUAACAGGAAGUAGAGAGUAGGAAAGUAAUUAAAGAGUCCGUAGUAGUGAGUUUCUGAAUAAAGAAGCUGAGUACUACCGAUUCGCAGUAUGGAAGCGGUAUUGUUCUUUGACAGUUGAGGAAGGGAAGGCCAUGUUUGUCAUCUUGCCGAUGGCAGACCUCCAAGUGGAUGCUUGGGGAUAUAU